Molecule: microRNA precursor, 76 nt
Filed under: Marmota monax (woodchuck)
Lineage: Eukaryota; Metazoa; Chordata; Mammalia; Rodentia; Sciuridae
Source: RNAcentral
UGUGUGUGUGUGUGUGUGUGUGUGUGUGUAUAUAUAUAUAUAUAUAUACACACACACACACACAUAUACACAUAUA